CCUACGGGUGGCAGCAGUGGGGAAUAUUGCACAAUGGGCGAAAGCCUGAUGCAGCAACGCCGCGUGAAGGAAGAAGGGUUUCGGCUCGUAAACUUCUAUCAACAGGGACGAAAGAAAUGAUGGUACCUGAAUAAGAAGCCCCUGCUAACUACGUGCCAGCAGCCGCCGUAAUACGUAGGGGGCAAGCGUUAUCCGGAAUUACGGGGUGUAAAGGGUGAGAAGGCGGCAUGGUAAGCCAGAUGUGAACGCCUUGGGCUAAACCUGAGGAUUGUAUGUGGAACUAUCAAGCUAGAGUACAGGAGAGGAAAGCGGAAUUCCUAGUGUAGCAGUGAAAUGCGUAGAUAUUAGGAAGAACACCAGUGGCGAAGGCGGCUUGCUGGAAUGAAUCUGACGCUGAGGCACGAAAGCGUAGGGAGCGAACAGGAUUAGAUACCCGUGUAGUC
This 443-nucleotide ribosomal RNA is filed under the name uncultured bacterium. RNAcentral's name for it is "partial 16S ribosomal RNA". It matches the Rfam family "Bacterial small subunit ribosomal RNA", at positions 338 to 795 of the family's 1533-position model. The record is from RNAcentral.